GAUGAACGCUGGCGGCGUGCCUAAUACAUGCAAGUCGAGCGAACAGACGAGGAGCUUGCUCCUCUGACGUUAGCGGCGGACGGGUGAGUAACACGUGGUUAACCUACCUAUAAGACUGGGAUAACUUCGGGAAACCGGAGCUAAUACCGGAUAAUAUAUUGAACCGCAUGGUUCAAUAGUGAAAGACGGUUUUGCUGUCACUUAUAGAUGGAUCCGCGCCGCAUUAGCUAGUUGGUAAGGUAACGGCUUACCAAGGCAAUGAUGCGUAGCCGACCUGAGAGGGUGAUCGGCCACACUGGAACUGAGACACGGUCCAGACUCCUACGGGAGGCAGCAGUAGGGAAUCUUCCGCAAUGGGCGAAAGCCUGACGGAGCAACGCCGCGUGAGUGAUGAAGGUCUUCGGAUCGUAAAACUCUGUUAUUAGGGAAGAACAAAUGUGUAAGUAACUAUGCACGUCUUGACGGUACCUAAUCAGAAAGCCACGGCUAACUACGUG
Molecule: ribosomal RNA, 497 nt
Filed under: uncultured bacterium
Lineage: Bacteria
Description: partial 16S ribosomal RNA
Rfam family: Bacterial small subunit ribosomal RNA
Source: RNAcentral